Molecule: ribosomal RNA, 301 nt
Filed under: uncultured bacterium
Lineage: Bacteria
Description: partial 16S ribosomal RNA
Rfam family: Bacterial small subunit ribosomal RNA
Source: RNAcentral
CAGUCGCCGCGGUAAUACGUAGGGUGCGAGCGUUAAUCGGAAUUACUGGGCGUAAAGCGUGCGCAGGCGGUUAUGUAAGACAGUUGUGAAAUCCCCGGGCUCAACCUGGGAACUGCAUCUGUGACUGCAUAGCUAGAGUACGGUAGAGGGGGAUGGAAUUCCGCGUGUAGCAGUGAAAUGCGUAGAUAUGCGGAGGAACACCGAUGGCGAAGGCAAUCCCCUGGACCUGUACUGACGCUCAUGCACGAAAGCGUGGGGAGCAAACAGGAUUAGAUACCCGCGUAGUCCCUGUCUCUUAUAC